UACGUAUGGAGCAAGCGUUAUCCGGAUUUACUGGGUGUAAAGGGAGCGCAGGCGGUCUGGCAAGUCUGAUGUGAAAGGCCGGGGCUCAACUCCGGGACUGCAUUGGAAACUGUCAGACUGGAGUGUCGGAGAGGUAAGCGGAAUUCCUAGUGUAGCGGUGAAAUGCGUAGAUAUUAGGAGGAACACCAGUGGCGAAGGCAGCUUACUGGACGAUGACUGACGCUGAGGCUCGAAAGCGUGGGGAGCAAACAGG
RNAcentral lists this ribosomal RNA (253 nucleotides) under uncultured bacterium. Its description in RNAcentral is "partial 16S ribosomal RNA". It matches the Rfam family "Bacterial small subunit ribosomal RNA", at positions 524 to 776 of the family's 1533-position model. The record is from RNAcentral.